UACGUAGGGUGCUAGCGUUGUCCGGAUUUAUUGGGCGUAAAGGGCUCGUAGGCGGCGUGUCGCGUCGGGGAGUGAAAGCCCGCUGCUUAACGGCGGGUUGGCUUCCGGUACGGGCAUCGCUGGAGUGCGGCAGGGGAGACCGGAAUUCCUGGUGUAGCGGUGGAAUGCGCAGAUAUCAGGAGGAACACCGGUGGCGAAGGCGGGUCUCUGGGCCGUUACUGACGCUGAGGAGCGAAAGCGUGGGGAGCGAACAGG
Molecule: ribosomal RNA, 255 nt
Filed under: uncultured bacterium
Lineage: Bacteria
Description: partial 16S ribosomal RNA
Rfam family: Bacterial small subunit ribosomal RNA
Source: RNAcentral